This 301-nucleotide ribosomal RNA is filed under the name uncultured bacterium. RNAcentral describes it as "partial 16S ribosomal RNA". It matches the Rfam family "Bacterial small subunit ribosomal RNA", at positions 509 to 807 of the family's 1533-position model. The record is from RNAcentral.
CAGUCGCCGCGGGAAUACGAAGGGGGCUAGCGUUGUUCGGAAUUACUGGGCGUAAAGCGCACGUAGGCGGAUAUUUAAGUCAGGGGUGAAAUCCCAGAGCUCAACUCUGGAACUGCCUUUGAUACUGGGUAUCUUGAGUAUGGAAGAGGUGAGUGGAAUUCCGAGUGUAGAGGUGAAAUUCGUAGAUAUUCGGAGGAACACCUGUGGCGAAAGCGGCUCACUGGACCAUAACUGACGCUGAUGCACGAAAGCUAGGGGAGCAAACAGGAUUAGAUACCCCCGUAGUCCCUGUCUCUUAUAC